Molecule: long non-coding RNA, 491 nt
Organism: Nematostella vectensis (starlet sea anemone)
Lineage: Eukaryota; Metazoa; Cnidaria; Anthozoa; Actiniaria; Edwardsiidae
Exons: 3
Source: RefSeq, a predicted model, not a curated record
UUUGACACUUUAACUAACUCGACCGCCAUCUUGGAUUUGAUCCGUAAGAGAAACGCAGAAGGCCGUUUCCCGCGUUACUUGGAGCAUAUAAUAAUAUAAGCUGGCAGACUCAAGAGCACUGGCACUAUAAACCAUAAAUAGUGCCAAGGCUAGGGAGAGCAGGAAUCUGCUGUCGAUCGCGCUUUUCGUAUUGAUACCUCCUUCCAGAGGACAAGAGAUCCGGACACUGCGAAUUGCCCCGUCCGGUGACAGAGAACACGUCCAGGGACUGAAUUCAUUAGUCUUGAAUUCAGAUGGCACCCUCAUGUUCAGAUUCGAGGAUUACAAAACAUAUGGCUCUCAUGGGGUUGAUGUCACAAAUUUGCCAGAAGAUCACAGAUUGAACGUCAUCAUAAGGGAAUAUCUGGACAAAUACAGAGAUAUUCUUCUCGACGCCUCUGACGAUGGCACAACCAACAAUUUUCUUCUCCUGGUAAGUUAUGACUCUUCAG